UACGAAUGGAGCAAGCGUUGUUCGGAAUCACUGGGCGUAAAGCGUGCGUAGGCGGUUUAAUAAGUCAGAAGUGAAAGCCCAGGGCUCAACCUUGGAAUUGCUUUUGAAACUAUUAAACUCGAGUCCCGGAGAGGUUGGCGGAAUUCCUAGUGUAGAGGUGAAAUUCGCAGAUAUUAGGAGGAACACCAGUGGCGUAGGCGGCCAACUGGACGGGUACUGACGCUGAGGCACGAAAGCGUGGGGAGCAAACAGG
This 253-nucleotide ribosomal RNA is filed under the name uncultured bacterium. RNAcentral describes it as "partial 16S ribosomal RNA". It matches the Rfam family "Bacterial small subunit ribosomal RNA", at positions 524 to 776 of the family's 1533-position model. The record is from RNAcentral.